CUCCUUAGCAAAAGCCUUUCCCAACUCACAGGGCUGGAGAAACGUGUGUCCCGUGAGCCUCCUACAAGGGGCUGGGUUACUAGGGGAGAAACCCCGGGCAGCGUCCCUGAAGUGCCUGCGGGCACAGGCCCCGCGGUCGUUCCCCUCGCCGCCGCCCGGAGCGAGCUGGGCCGGCGCCGGGCUCCACGCAGCGACCACAGCUGGGCAGGAGUCUGGGCAUUCCAGGCGCUCGGCCCAGCGCACCCGGAAGAACGGAGGGUCUGCGUGUCCGACAAACGCCCCCAAGAUGCCUUUCUCUCAUCCAGAGUGGACACUGCCCUUCAAGUUCUCGUCUCCAAGAAAGGCCUUGCAGGGAGAGCACAAGAUCUGAACAAUCCGAGUGAGCGGAAGAGGGAAGAGAAAGCCCGCGGCCUGCGAGAGGCGGAGGCUGCCGGGCGGCCUCGGGGUGCUGCUCAGGGCCUGGCCCGCCGGCUGCUGCUGCUCCUCCCGCUGCAGGUCAGUCAGGAAGGCUGGGCGGGGGAGCGCCUUCAUCGCCUCCCCCAGGGUGCCCUGGGUGACAAUCUCAGGUCCACCUGCAAACACGACAUGACUGCAGCCUGGACGCCAGGGCUUCCCGCUCUGCCGGCCCCGGGACCGUCUCCUGACUCGGAUGCUCUCCGCUGACUCUCCUGAAGGUUCCCC
RNAcentral lists this long non-coding RNA (681 nucleotides) under Equus caballus (horse). RNAcentral describes it as "lncRNA (ENSECAG00000046452.1)". The record is from RNAcentral. Lineage: Eukaryota; Metazoa; Chordata; Mammalia; Perissodactyla; Equidae.